AUACAGUGAUGGUAAUAUUUGUCAUUCACCAAGUGAGUGUUGAUACUUUGGAUCUGAGUGA
RNAcentral lists this small nucleolar RNA (61 nucleotides) under Otolemur garnettii (small-eared galago). Its description in RNAcentral is "Small nucleolar RNA SNORD56". It matches the Rfam family "Small nucleolar RNA SNORD56". Rfam says of the family: U56 belongs to the C/D class of snoRNA which contain the C (UGAUGA) and D (CUGA) box motifs. Lineage: Eukaryota; Metazoa; Chordata; Mammalia; Primates; Galagidae. The record is from Rfam by way of RNAcentral.